RNAcentral lists this unclassified non-coding RNA (263 nucleotides) under Capnodiales sp. RNAcentral describes it as "partial contains 5.8S ribosomal RNA, internal transcribed spacer 2, and large subunit ribosomal RNA". Lineage: Eukaryota; Fungi; Ascomycota; Dothideomycetes; Capnodiales. The record is from RNAcentral.
CGCACAUUGCGCCCUCUGGCAUUCCGGGGGGCAUGCCCGUUCGAGCGUCAUUAAAUCCAAUCAAGCCUGGCUUGGUAUUGGGCGUCGGGACGUCCCCGCGCCCCAAUUUCACCGGCUGGCCGUCGCCCGUCUUAGCGUUGUGACAUACAAUAAUUCGCUUUCCGACGGGGUCGGGCAAGUUUAGCCGUUAAGCGCAACGAAUUUCAAUCGAAAUUUGAUUAAAGGUUGACCUCGGAUCGGGUAGGAAUACCCGCUGAACUUAA